GAAAUGCGAUAAGUAGUGUGAAUUGCAGAAUUCAGUGAAUCAUCGAAUCUUUGAACGCACAUUGCGCCCUUUGGUAUUCCAAAGGGCAUGCCUGUUCGAGCGUCAUUUGUACCCUCAAGCCUUGCUUGGUGUUGGGCGUCUUGUCUCUAGCUUUGCUGGAGACUCGCCUUAAAGUAAUUGGCAGCCGGCCUACUGGUUUCGGAGCGCAGCACAAGUCGCACUCUCUAUCAGCAAAGGUCUAGCAUCCAUUAAGCCUUUUUUCAACUUUUGACCUCGGAUCAGGUAGGGAUACCCGCUGAACUUAAGC
This 307-nucleotide unclassified non-coding RNA is filed under the name plant metagenome. Its description in RNAcentral is "partial contains 5.8S ribosomal RNA, internal transcribed spacer 2, and large subunit ribosomal RNA". The stretch from base 1 to 105 matches the Rfam family "5.8S ribosomal RNA", at positions 50 to 154 of the family's 154-position model. The record is from RNAcentral.